RNAcentral lists this ribosomal RNA (468 nucleotides) under uncultured bacterium. RNAcentral's name for it is "partial 16S ribosomal RNA". It matches the Rfam family "Bacterial small subunit ribosomal RNA", at positions 28 to 507 of the family's 1533-position model. The record is from RNAcentral.
GACGAACGCUGGCGGCGUGCUUAACACAUGCAAGUCGAACGGAAAGGCCCUGCUUUUGUGGGGUGCUCGAGUGGCGAACGGGUGAGUAACACGUGAUUAACCUGCCCUUGACUUUGGGAUAACUUCAGGAAACUGGGGCUAAUACCGGAUAGGAGCUCCUGCUGCAUGGCGGGGGUUGGAAAGUUUCGGCGGUUGGGGAUGGACUCGCGGCUUAUCAGCUUGUUGGUGGGGUAGUGGCUUACCAAGGCUUUGACGGGUAGCCGGCCUGAGAGGGUGACCGGCCACAUUGGGACUGAGAUACGGCCCAGACUCCUACGGGAGGCAGCAGUGGGGAAUAUUGCACAAUGGGCGGAAGCCUGAUGCAGCAACGCCGCGUGCGGGAUGACGGCCUUCGGGUUGUAAACCGCUUUCGCCUGUGACGAAGCGUGAGUGACGGUAAUGUGUAAAGAAGCACCGGCUAACUACGUG